Non-coding RNA from Paramuricea clavata, 731 nucleotides. NCBI's taxonomy places the organism in Eukaryota, Metazoa, Cnidaria, Anthozoa, Malacalcyonacea, Plexauridae. The record is from the annotation of a GenBank genome assembly.
UGCGCAAUUGUAACUUUGGUAGUUUGUCUACCUUUUCACAUUCAAAUUCCAAAAAUUCUCCUCUUGAAAACGAGGUCAGUAAUGUCAUGCUGUGCGUGCACAUGAAAGAAUUUUUAAUUAAUAGCACUUAUGUAUAGAGUCAUAUAGAAUUCAAUGAAUAACAUUAUUAUCUAACCUAACGUCUUCAUAAACGGGGUUGAUUUUAUCAUUAUAUUUUGUGAUUUACUGAUUUUAGUAAAAAUUUGAUAAGUUUAUUCAGAUAUUCAGGUAUUAUAGCGCCAGGAUGAGCUUACAUGAGCGGUUCGUUGAAUUUGUAUAGGUUUAAACCGGGCUUGAGUUUCAUAUUAUGAUAACAAAACAGUGUUGGUGUUUGACUGUAUGGCUAUAUCAUGCCACUAACUUUUCGACGAAGCCGAAGGGCCUUCGCUCCGAGGGUUGAAGUUCUGCUUUAUAUUUUUGAAGUAGUUUAAUAUCACCCCAGCUUUCUGUAUCAUAUUUCCAUGUCGAUAGCUCUGGAAUUCCUUUUAGAAACGAUAAUGCCGUAUUUUGUGUUCCCUUCGAUAAGGCGUUGUUGAUGUGAAAACGAUUUUUCCUUUUGGUCAAUUUCGUCAUGCGUUGGGUUGUGUGGACUCGUGUGCAUUACAUACGCUAGAAUAAGCUACCUCGACUUUCACUUAUGCAAUGUGUUUAGGCAAUACAUAUUAUUUAUAAUGCGGUAAUUAUCCUCGAAG